RNAcentral lists this ribosomal RNA (448 nucleotides) under uncultured bacterium. RNAcentral's name for it is "bacterial SSU rRNA". It matches the Rfam family "Bacterial small subunit ribosomal RNA", at positions 335 to 773 of the family's 1533-position model. The record is from RNAcentral.
ACUCCUACGGGAGGCAGCAGUGGGGAAUAUUGCACAAUGGGGGAAACCCUGAUGCAGCCAUGCCGCGUGUGUGAAGAAGGCCUUCGGGUUGUAAAGCACUUUCAGUAGGGAGGAAGGUAGUGUAGUUAACACCUGCACUAUUUGACGUUACCUACAGAAGAAGCACCGGCUAACUCCGUGCCAGCAGCCGCGGUAAUAUGGAGGGUGCGAGCGUUAAUCGGAAUUACUGGGCGUAAAGCGCAUGCAGGCGGCCUGUUAAGUCAGAUGUGAAAGCCCGGGGCUUAACCUCGGAAUUGCAUUUGAAACUGGCAGGCUAGAGUCUUGUAAGAGGGGGGUAGAAUUUCAGGUGUAGCGGUGAAAUGCGUAGAGAUCUAGAAGGAAUACCAGUGGCGAAGGCGGCCCCCUGGACAAAGACUGACGCUCAGAUGCGAAAGCGUGGGGAGCAAAC